CUCAUAUUGAAACCUAGUGAUGUAUGAGUUAGUGGCGGACGGGUGAGUAACGCGUGGAGAACCUGCCGUAUACUGGGGGAUAACACUUAGAAAUAGGUGCUAAUACCGCAUAAGCGCACAGCUUCGCAUGAAGCAGUGUGAAAAACUCCGGUGGUAUACGAUGGAUCCGCGUCUGAUUAGCUUGUUGGCGGGGUAAAGGCCCACCAAGGCGACGAUCAGUAGCCGGCCUGAGAGGGUGAACGGCCACAUUGGGACUGAGACACGGCCCAAACUCCUACGGGAGGCAGCAGUGGGGAAUAUUGCACAAUGGGGGAAACCCUGAUGCAGCGACGCCGCGUGAGUGAAGAAGUAUUUCGGUACGUAAAGCUCUAUCAGCAGGGAAGAAAAUGACGGUACCUGACUAAGAAGCCCCGGCUAACUACGUGCCAGCAGCCGCGGUAAUACGUAGGGGGCAAGCGUUAUCCGGAUUUACUGGGUGUAAAGGGAGCGUAGACGGCAGCGCAAGUCUGGAGUGAAAUCCCAUGGCUUAACCAUGGAACUGCUUUGGAAACUGUGCAGCUGGAGUGCAGGAGAGGUAAGCGGAAUUCCUAGUGUAGCGGUGAAAUGCGUAGAUAUUAGGAGGAACACCAGUGGCGAAGGCGGCUUACUGGACUGUAACUGACGUUGAGGCUCGAAAGCGUGGGGAGCAAACAGGAUUAGAUACCCUGGUAGUCCACGCUGUAAACGAUGAUUACUAGGUGUUGGGGGACCAAGGUCCUUCGGUGCCGUCGCAAACGCAUUAAGUAAUC
Molecule: ribosomal RNA, 788 nt
Filed under: uncultured bacterium
Lineage: Bacteria
Description: bacterial SSU rRNA
Rfam family: Bacterial small subunit ribosomal RNA
Source: RNAcentral